Molecule: ribosomal RNA, 423 nt
Filed under: uncultured bacterium
Lineage: Bacteria
Description: bacterial SSU rRNA
Rfam family: Bacterial small subunit ribosomal RNA
Source: RNAcentral
UGGGGGAUAUUGCACAAUGGGGGAAGCCCUGAUGCAGCGACGCCGCGUGAGCGAUGAAGUAUUUCGGUAUGUAAAGCUCUAUCAGCAGGGAAGAAAAUGACGGUACCUGACUAAGAAGCCCCGGCUAACUACGUGCCAGCAGCCGCGGUAAUACGUAGGGGGCAAGCGUUAUCCGGAUUUACUGGGUGUAAAGGGAGCGUAGACGGCUGAGCAAGUCUGAAGUGAAAGGGCGGGGGCUCAAACCCCCCAGGGCAGCUGCUUUGGAAAUCUGUACAGCUAGAGUGUCGGAGAGGCAAGUGGAAUUCCUAGUGUAGCGGUGAAAUGCGUAGAUAUUAGGAGGAACACCAGUGGCGAAGGCGGCUUGCUGGACGAUGACUGACGUUGAGGCUCGAAAGCGUGGGGAGCAAACAGGAUUAGAUACCC